AUACGGAGGAUCCGAGCGUUAUCCGGAUUUAUUGGGUUUAAAGGGUGCGCAGGCGGCCAUUUAAGUCAGCGGUUAAAUCGUGGGGCUCAACCCCAUUCUGCCGUUGAUACUGGGUGGCUUGAUUGCGGUCGAGGUUGGCGGAAUUCGUUGUGUAGCGGUGAAAUGCAUAGAUAUGACGAAGAACACCGAUUGCGUAGGCAGCUGACCAGACCGCAAAUGGCGCGCAUGCACGAAAGUGCGGGGAUCGAACAGGAUUAGAUACCCUGGUAGUCCGCACAGUAAACGAUGAAUACUUGUUUUCGGCGAUAUAAUGUCGGAGGCAAAGCGAAAGCGAUAAGUAUUCCACCUGGGGAGUACGCCGGCAACGGUGAAACUCAAAUGAAUUGGCGGGG
This 392-nucleotide ribosomal RNA is filed under the name uncultured bacterium. Its description in RNAcentral is "partial 16S ribosomal RNA". It matches the Rfam family "Bacterial small subunit ribosomal RNA", at positions 523 to 918 of the family's 1533-position model. The record is from RNAcentral.